AUCGAGCGCCGAGGAGCGAGCGCGCAUGGAGCCACAGGGCGCUUGCACACAAAUACACCAUGUUUAGCAGCAGAAAGGGUCUUACCUCUUGAAUAAAUGGAACAGAGCACUGGGAACUGAUGGCAGGAGACCUCCAUAUGGCCCUGUGAAGAGAUCUGAGACAUGGCCUUCGGGAUGAGAUAAAUCACCGUUACCGGUGUUGGGAUGUGCAAGUGUCCCAAUUGGAUGUACUCUUUUGGAUGGUCUGAGAUUUUUCAUGACUAAGAAGGAAAAGAAACGGUGAUAAGCAUCCCUAUG
Nothoprocta perdicaria is the source of this 297-nucleotide long non-coding RNA. RefSeq lists it as uncharacterized. Lineage: Eukaryota; Metazoa; Chordata; Aves; Tinamiformes; Tinamidae. The record is from RefSeq and is a predicted model, not a curated record. The transcript has 3 exons.